Molecule: long non-coding RNA, 218 nt
Filed under: Mytilus galloprovincialis (Mediterranean mussel)
Lineage: Eukaryota; Metazoa; Mollusca; Bivalvia; Mytilida; Mytilidae
Source: RNAcentral
GUUUUAAAAAUGUGUGGCGUGACCCUGCCAACCAACCAAGAUGGCCACCAUGGCUAAAAAUAGUACAUAGGGGUGAAAUGUAGAUUUUGGCUUAUAUCUCUGAAACCAAAGCAUUUAGAGCAAAUCUGACAGGGGAUAAAUUGUUUCUCAGGUCAAGAUCUAUCUGCCCUGAAAUUUUCAGACAAAACAGACAACCUGUUGUUGGGUUGCUGCCCCAG